RNAcentral lists this ribosomal RNA (218 nucleotides) under uncultured bacterium. RNAcentral describes it as "partial 16S ribosomal RNA". It matches the Rfam family "Bacterial small subunit ribosomal RNA", at positions 328 to 539 of the family's 1533-position model. The record is from RNAcentral.
ACGCUCGACACCUACGGGGGGCAGCAGUGAGGAAUAUUGGUCAAUGGGCGCUAGCCUGAACCAGCCAAGUAGCGUGAAGGAUGAAGGCUCUAUGGGUCGUAAACUUCUUUUAUAUAAGAAUAAAGUGCAGUAUGUAUACUGUUUUGUAUGUAUUAUAUGAAUAAGGAUCGGCUAACUCCGUGCCAGUAGCCGCGGUAAUCUGAGCGGGCUGGCAAGGC